GAUGAACGCUGGCGGCGUACCUAACACAUGCAAGUCGAGCGAUUUACUUCGGUAAAGAGCGGCGGACGGGUGAGUAACGCGUGGGUAACCUGCCCUGUACACACGGAUAACAUACCGAAAGGUAUGCUAAUACGAGAUAAUAUGCUUUUAUCGCAUGGUAGAAGUAUCAAAGCUUUUGCGGUACAGGAUGGACCCGCGUCUGAUUAGCUAGUUGGUGAGGUAACGGCUCACCAAGGCGACGAUCAGUAGCCGACCUGAGAGGGUGAUCGGCCACAUUGGAACUGAGACACGGUCCAAACUCCUACGGGAGGCAGCAGUGGGGAAUAUUGCACAAUGGGCGAAAGCCUGAUGCAGCAACGCCGCGUGAGCGAUGAAGGCCUUCGGGUCGUAAAGCUCUGUCCUCAAGGAAGAUAAUGACGGUACUUGAGGAGGAAGCCCCGGCUAACUACGUG
This 452-nucleotide ribosomal RNA is filed under the name uncultured bacterium. RNAcentral's name for it is "partial 16S ribosomal RNA". It matches the Rfam family "Bacterial small subunit ribosomal RNA", at positions 28 to 507 of the family's 1533-position model. The record is from RNAcentral.